UAGGGAAUCUUCCGCAAUGGACGCAAGUCUGACGGAGCAACGCCGCGUGAGUGAAGAAGGAUUUCGGUUCGUAAAACUCUGUUGUUAGAGAAGAACAGCGCAUAGAGUAACUGUUAUGCGUGUGACGGUAUCUAACCAGAAAGCCACGGCUAACUACGUGCCAGCAGCCGCGGUAAUACGUAGGUGGCAAGCGUUGUCCGGAUUUAUUGGGCGUAAAGCGAGCGCAGGCGGUCAAUUAAGUCUGAUGUGAAAGCCCCCGGCUCAACCGGGGAGGGUCAUUGGAAACUGGUUGACUUGAGUGCAGAAGAGGAGAGUGGAAUUCCGUGUGUAGCGGUGAAAUGCGUAGAUAUAUGGAGGAACACCAGGGGCGAAGGCGACUCUCUGGUCUGUAACUGACGCUGAGGCUCGAAAGCGUGGGUAGCAAACAGG
Molecule: ribosomal RNA, 429 nt
Filed under: Bacteroidota bacterium
Lineage: Bacteria; Pseudomonadati; Bacteroidota
Description: Bacteroidetes bacterium partial 16S ribosomal RNA
Rfam family: Bacterial small subunit ribosomal RNA
Source: RNAcentral